ACUGGAUAACUGAAUUCUAGAAUUCAAGCCUGAUGUCAUAGUUCCAUGAGAAUUUUAUGAGAAGGAAAAGGAUGUUGUACAUGGGCAGAAAGGUGAAAAUUGUGGCCAGAGGCAGAUUGUGGUAAAUUACAAAAUUGGCUCAUAAUCCUUUAUUCCUUCUUGCCUCCAUGCUCUUUGCAAUGUGACUUUGCCACUUUUCUCAUUAAGAGAUGGAUUCUGUUCUCCAUUGCCUUCUGUCUGGACUGGUCUUGUAACUUGUUCUGGUUAAUACAGAGGUAAAUGUGAUGACACAUCAGAAGCCCAGGCCUCAAGCAAGCUUUCCCACUUGUUCUCUUGGAACCCUUCCCAGCUAUCAGGUAAAUAAGCCCAGGCUAUUGUGCUGGAUGAUGAGAGGUCACUGGAACACUGAUGAGCCAUAACAGCUGAGGCCAUUCUAGAAUAGGCAGCUUUAGCCAACCAGGCAGCUGACUGCAGAUACAGGCCUGCAUCCAGAUGAGUCCAGAAAAGCAACCUAGACACUACUGGCAAAGACAUUGAAAAGAAUCACACUGCUAAACCAGUAGCAGCUUUUAUCUUCUUCUCAGAUUGUAUACAUGCAGGAUAAAAGUGUUUCUAACACAUAGACUUCUAUAUUCCAGCAUAAAGAUGUAUUAGGCGCAUUUAUACUUUUACAUCGAAGCCUGUUUCAACAUGAACGGAGCCCAGAUAUUUAUGUAGGCCAGUAAUUGGAGUGUAUUUCCCUGUUCAAUUUCACAUUGUCUAUAAAAGGGUUUCUCAUGAUCGAUGACUUUCUAGUUAAAUUCAGAAGAAAACAUCUUGCAGCUACUGCCCUAUUGCCAUGGCCACACAUCACUGCCUUCUAGACAUGGGAAGUUGGUGACUUAAUCCUCGUUAUACCCUGAUUUUGGACAAAUUUUACAAGAAGAAUAGGACUUCUACUUCUCUAUGUCUACAUGCACCUGGAACAGUGCUAGGUCUAUGCUUACAAAUUGAUUGGUUCAGGUCACCGCCAUGAGCCUCAGGACAGAAAAUUGCCGGAUAUGAGAGAGAGAGAGAGAUUUGACUGGGCUAAGAAAGAAAUGAACACGAUUUAGAGAUGGAAAUGGUGACAUAUGGGCCUUUGAAGCCUCCCAUGUUCCAGAGAAGCCUUUUCUAGCUGAUCUCCCACCAUGACAUCCUUCCCCCACAGCUGGUUUGUCUGUUAUUCCACCCUCUGACUUCAUCCUUCAGGUGAGGUUUCACCAUGUUAGUCAGGAUGGUCUCGAUCUCCUGACCUCGUGACCUGCCCAGCUCGGCCUCCCAAAGUGCUGGGAUUACAGGCAUGAGCCAUUGCGCCUAACCUCAGAAACCAUUUUUAUAACCUCAAUACCUAAUAGAAACUGGCACAUGGCCCCUGUGAGCUGUGACUGCAAGAGUCAGCACCUAAAUUAGAUCAACACUACAACAUCAAAAAGCCAGCUUGAUGGCACAGCGGGGAGUGAGGAAGACUCGGUGGACAAAUCUGACUGGAAAACAAGUAGGCGUUGCAGAUGAAGACCUGGAACCAUGGUAGGAAGUGGGACAGGGAGCAUUUGGACAAGCUGUUCAAGAACUGAUCAUGCUCAUGUGUAUGGGAAAACAGAUGGAGGAAGAGAAAUUCCUGAAGAGCACAAGACUGGUGGGGCAAGGAACAAGCCUACUGAGAUGAGUUGCAGAUUUGAAGAUGGGAGAAAUGGUUUCGUUGUCUACCAUGUAAAAACUCAUUUAUGCAAGAUGCUUGAUAUCUGAAUUUCAAUUUCUUCAUUAUCAAAAUGAAUAUUAAAAAUACUCUACUUCUUAGAGUUGUCAAAAA
Molecule: long non-coding RNA, 1831 nt
Filed under: Homo sapiens (human)
Lineage: Eukaryota; Metazoa; Chordata; Mammalia; Primates; Hominidae
Description: long independently transcribed non-coding RNA 1911, transcript variant 2 (LINC01911)
Source: RNAcentral